This is a long non-coding RNA of Corythoichthys intestinalis (scribbled pipefish), 1091 nucleotides long. RefSeq lists it as uncharacterized. The transcript is spliced from 4 exons. The record is from RefSeq and is a predicted model, not a curated record. NCBI's taxonomy places the organism in Eukaryota, Metazoa, Chordata, Actinopteri, Syngnathiformes, Syngnathidae.
AAACAAAUAUGCGGGGGUGUUCUAAAUGAGAAAUCCCACGAAAUCGUUUGAUCCUAAAAAAUUGAGCGAGAGGGGCCAACAUGUGCCACACGCGGUUUUUGUUCAACAAAUAAUCAUCAAACCCCGUUAUAUUUUUUUAAGAUGCACAAAGGGAGGUGGCUGGGUCCGUUUCGUGCGCAUGCGUCGUUUUGAAAAGGUGCACGCCAGGUAGAGGGAGGGAUAAGAGAGAGAGAAAGAGAGAGAGAGAGGAGCCGGAGUGAGCCUCCAAUUGACAUUUGAUACUCAGGAAGUUGACGACGCCGUUCGGAUUCUUCUUUUGUCUCAUUGGAAUUGUGCGUCGCCGCUCGCGAACACGCACCGCAGCCUCUCAUACAUCUUUUCAUUUCAGCGAAAAAAAGCAUGAAUUGAAGAUGAAAAAUACUCGAGUUGGCGUGCCGCGAUGACGCAACGCGAUAGGGAGCCGCAACAAGGCUUUUCCUGGUGGUCUUGACAUUGACUCCUGUUCUGUGUAUGGCACUGGUAGAAUUCACUGUGAGAGCUCACUAUCAGUGAAUUACCAUAGGGCCAUAAACAGAGCAGAGAAAGAACCACUUUUGCACGCCGCGCACUCAGGCAGCUCUCCGGUGGUGUUUGGCAAUGGUAGAACUCACACUGGUGAGCUAGAAGGAUCCGGUGGUUCUAGACUUGCCAACUACUGCUCGAGAGACUCCACUUGCAAUGGAGAAACAGAAAAGCAAGACUCCCUCCCAUCUACUCCUGUCCCAAGUCAAUGAGUGAGUGGCUGUUGGUGGUGAAGGGCGAGGUGACUCUCUGUUCUUCCCUUGCACACCACAGCCUCACAGCUCCCGUUUCCAGGAGGACAGUGAACACAACAAUGCAGAUCGCACGUCACUGCGCACGUUGGCCCAGGGGAUGUCAUCGGGCCACCACACGGGCUUGCAGCUCUCCUUGCCCCAGCCGGGUUUGCCUCGGCCCGUCGAGUACUUCAGCAUCUCUGGGAUGAAGGCUCGCAGCUGGGCCUGCAACAGAACAACAAAACGAGUGAGCCUGAAAUAAAUAUGCCCUUGACGAGGAAAAAAAACAAGUGCGAG